CAACAGGGAUUGCCCUAGUAACGGCGAGUGAAGCGGCAACAGCUCAAAUUUGAAAUCUGGCUCUUUCAGAGUCCGAGUUGUAAUUUGCAGAGGGCGCUUUGGCUUUGGCAGCGGUCCAAGUUCCUUGGAACAGGACGUCACAGAGGGUGAGAAUCCCGUACGUGGUCGCUAGCUAUUGCCGUGUAAAGCCCCUUCGACGAGUCGAGUUGUUUGGGAAUGCAGCUCUAAAUGGGAGGUAAAUUUCUUCUAAAGCUAAAUAUUGGCCAGAGACCGAUAGCGCACAAGUAGAGUGAUCGAAAGAUGAAAAGCACUUUGGAAAGAGAGUCAAACAGCACGUGAAAUUGUUGAAAGGGAAGCGCUUGCAGCCAGACUUGCUUGCAGUUGCUCAUCCGGGCUUUUGCCCGGUGCACUCUUCUGCAGGCAGGCCAGCAUCAGUUUGGGCGGUGGGAUAAAGGUCUCUGUCACGUACCUCUCUUCGGGGAGGCCUUAUAGGGGAGACGACAUACCACCAGCCUGGACUGAGGUCCGCGCAUCUGCUAGGAUGCUGGCGUAAUGGCUGUAAGCGGCCCGUCUUGAAACACGGACCAAGGAGUCUAACAUCUAUGCGAGUGUUUGGGUGUCAAGCCCGAGCGCGUAAUGAAAGUGAACGGAGGUGGGAACCCGCAAGGGCGCACCAUCGACCGAUCCUGAAGUUUACGGAAGGAUUUGAGUAAGAGCAUGGCUGUUGGGACCCGAAAGAUGGUGAACUAUGCUUGAAUAGGGUGAAGCCAGAGGAAACUCUGGUGGAGGCUCGCAGCGGUUCUGACGUGCAAAUCGAUCGUCAAAUUUGGGCAUAGGGGCGAAAGACUAAUCGAA
This 855-nucleotide ribosomal RNA is filed under the name Dichotomophthora basellae. Its description in RNAcentral is "partial 28S ribosomal RNA". It matches the Rfam family "Eukaryotic large subunit ribosomal RNA", at positions 66 to 939 of the family's 3401-position model. The record is from RNAcentral. Lineage: Eukaryota; Fungi; Ascomycota; Dothideomycetes; Pleosporales; Pleosporaceae.